RNAcentral lists this long non-coding RNA (6577 nucleotides) under Aquilegia coerulea. Its description in RNAcentral is "long non-coding RNA (ACOE_LNC001747)". Lineage: Eukaryota; Viridiplantae; Streptophyta; Magnoliopsida; Ranunculales; Ranunculaceae. The record is from RNAcentral.
UCCGGUCCGGUCCGGUAAUGUAAUAGGACCGGGACCAAACCGAGUUGACUGUAUCGGUUCGGUUUCGGUUCCAUGGACCGAAAUUUGGUGAAUGUAACCGGACCGAACCGGACCAAAUACAAUCGGUCCGGUUUCGGUCCGAACUCGGUCCUGGGCUUUUUCUUUGGGCCUUUAGUCCACUACAUCAUAUUGCAGCAAGGAAAAUAUAAAAAGUACUUCUGGCAUAGAAAUUGCUCCAAAUACAUAGAAGUUUAAAAGAUAAUCAAUUUGGAGUUUAAAGUUUCUCCGAAUACAUAGAAGUUGCUCCAAAUACAUAACAAAAAAUUCUUAAAAGUACAAACAAGCGUGACAAGUCCAAAGUUCCUUCAAAACAACAAGCGCGACAAUGAUCAAAUUGCAAAAAAACACUUGCAUAUAACCUUCGAGCCACCAAACUUUCGUGAUAUAAAGUCCAAACCUCUUUUGAAACCUGCCAAAAAGAAUCACAUGAUGGAGUUACAAAGGGAUUGAAUGAAUAAAAAAAAAGGGAACACAUUUUGGGGAAAUUUGUUGAGUGAAUCACAUCUGCUGGACGUCCUUUUGAAUGUACUUCAUUACAACAAUGUAAAGAUCUAAGAAGCAUUCCAAUUACUUAUGCUAGAAGCUAGAAACUGUUAUUAUCUGACUUUCUACUCAAAAUUGAAUAAUAUUUUAUGUUUGAUUAACUAAUUAAGAAAUUAAAUUCAAGAUUUAGAAAUGGUACUUACUGUUUACAGGCUGCACUGUAGGCUGCGAAGCAGGCCGAUUAGUAAGACACCUUCUAUCGCUUGGACCAUCAAAACAAAAGCACUUAGGCUGGGCAGUAUCCCUAUCAUAUCCACAAGCACCACCAGAAUCCUCACAUUCCUUGCACAAUGAGGCAUCCACAGCAUACAACACAUCAAAACCCUCAUUCAAAAUGUUUCCCAGAUUAAAUUGAGAACCAAGGCCAACAACAGUUUGGUGAACAGUCACCGUGACAUUAAGGUUACAUAUUGAUAGUUCUGGAUGAAAUUCACCCAUAGAAUCAAGCCAAAAGUAAUUCUCAUUUGUAUUAUUAACAGAGCAAACAUAGAAUAGGAAUUCCAAAUUUCCAAUACGGCUCAAUGAAAUCAAGUUAUACAUUUCAAAAGGAAUUUCAAUCAUCAAAAUUCUCAAAUUCAACGCUUUUGAAAAAUCAAGGGGUCAAGGUUAAGGUUAAGGUUCUAGUAAAACUCAUCGUACGAGUUGAGAUGGUAUAACCAUAACUCUGCGAGUAGGAAAUGCAAGGCAAAGGUUGAUCAAUAUCUGACAGGAAGCAGUCAGAGUAAUGAACUUGUGAGGAAUGGUAUUCUACCAAACUAUUAGCUAUCAAUGGACUGUAAUCUAUUGUUAAGGCUUAGAAAAUGUUGCAAAACCUUUUAUUAUAUCUUCAGAUGGCAAUGAUACUGCUUACAACAAUAAUUAUACUACACAGCAUAAUUAUAUCUUAAAUGAUGCUAUUUUUUAGAUAAAAAUUAAAUGAACUAACCUCUUUAACAGUAAGUUGCAGGGGCAGUUUUCUUCAAAGACGAUGUGUUCGCAAAAUCUGAAAAAAUCAAAUGAAGUAUAAACAAACCAAUGUAUAUCAAAAAAUCAAACACAAAAGCAUAAAAACAGACUAAUUAGCAAUAUUAAACAAACCUGAUUCAAGUUCUUCAUAAAACUCCAUUUCUUCGAUAGUUGGUGCAAACUGUAAAGAUGCAAUAUCUCCGGCCUUCAACCAAUUUUGACAACAAAUUAAUGCUUCCACCAUCUUUGGAGUCAAAGAAGCCCUAAAUGCAUUGACUAUCCUUCCUCCGGUGCUAAAACAUGCUUCUGAAGCUACAGUCGAGACAGGUAUGGCUAGAAUGUCUUUGACAAUUGUUGCUAAACAUGGGUACUUAACUCCAUUAUGCUUCCACCAACACAAAAUAUCAAAGUCAUUGUUAGUCUUUGUAAGCUCAAGAGGAUCCUCUAGAUACCUAUCCACUUCAUGCUCUAAGACAACAACAUUGGUUGCCGCGGCCUCUUCCAUCCAACUUCUAGUCAUUGCUUCUCUUUGCCUUCCUCCCUUAGGCUCUCUAGAUGUACUAGUCAUACUAGAUACACUAGUAGUACCCAUGACAUCACGUGCACUAGAACCACUAGUAUCACUCGUAGGAAUGGCAUACUCCUCAUAAAGUUUAACUAAGAUGGUUUUGAUGUCAUUUGUUUUCUUGGCGGCUGAAGUUUUGUCCAUGUAACAAAACUUUUCCAACACAUGAGCCAAAUUAUUCGUCUUGUAUCUUGGAUCUAAUACAAGUGCAACCAUCAAGAGUUGAUUUAUUUUGUCCAAGUCUCCCCAAUACUUGACAAACUUCACUCUCAUCGCUUCGGACAUUUCCAUUAACACCUUUCUAGCCUUUGCCUCAUCCGAAUCCUUGUUAUAUUCACCAUCCAACCACAUAUCAUCUUCAUUCCCACAUAAUGCAUUUAUUUCCCCCUCAAUGGAAAUCAAGUCAUGAAAAGCUUCAUGCACCGAUGGAUUUAAGGUCAAUGACAUUUUAAGGGUCAUGUCAUAGAAAACCUUUAGAAAACUUACAAAAAUGGCUGCAUUGCGCCAAUCACAAGACUUUGGUGGUCCUACCCUCUUCCUAGAUUUCUUAGGUGCUCCCACAUGUGCUUCCUCAUGUUCUCCAUCAUCUUCCUCUUCUUCAUCUUCACCAAACCAUGCCAAAUAACUAGGGCUUUCAUCCUCCUCCUCCAAUCUAGCAAAAGCUUGUUCAAACUUUAAAGCCGCACUCAACAUCAAAUAAGUGGAAUUCCACCUAGUUGGGACAUCCAACACUACAAGCCCCUUGCACUCAAUCUUCUCUUUAGCCACACAAGUCUUGAAGUACUCCAACCUUUGAGGUGAGGAUCUCACAAACUUAACCGCAUUCCGAAUAGCUAAAAUGGACUUAUCCAAUUUUUUCAAUCCCUCCUUCACAAUCAAGUUAACAAUGUGAGCACAACACCUCACAUGCAUGUACCUCCCUCCGAGCAACAUCUUUGCAUGUGUCCAAAACUUCAUUUUAUUCCUUAUAUAAUCAAUUGCAACCGUGUUUGUAGUUGCAUUAUCAGCUGAGAUAGUUAACACAUUCUCUACACCCCAAUCUAGUAAACAUUGCUCAAGAAUUUUGCCUAUUGAGUUUCCUUUGUGAUUAGGUAUGACACAAAAAUUGAGGACUAUCUUGUGAAGCGUCCACUCAUCAUCAAUAAAGUGAGCAGUAAUCACCAUGUAGUUGAUAUUCUGACAACUUGUCCAAGUAUCCGUUGUGAGACACACUCUACGUGAGGCUAAGUCUUUUUUUAACUUCAAUCUCAUCUCUUGAUACAUGGUCAAGAAAUGCCUCACAAGUGUCCUACGAGAUGGCACAUGAAAAUGAGAGCAUGCAACCUCACAAAACCUUCUAAAGCCCCUACCUUCAACAAAACUGAACGGCAACUCAUCAAUUAUUACCAUUUCAACACAAGAGGUUAGACAAUCAGCUUGUGUUGCUCCUCUACUCACUACCUGUCCACUUCUAUCCAAAGAGAGCUUUGUUUGACCUUUAUCAGGUAUUCUUCCAGGAAAUUUCGGACAAACUUUCACGUGUUUGUUCAUUUGUGAGGUGCCAUUAGUGCCGGAAUCAGUGAAAUAUUCUUGCGGACAAUACUUGCACUUAGACUUUUUCCUUGCUCUUGUGUUUUUAGUCUCAUCCUUGUUGGUGUUAUUUUUGUCAUCAACCAUUACAUCAAAUUCAUCAAAGUGUUGCCAUACUUCGGACCAUUUCCUCUUUGCUUUAGUCUUCUCGAAAGCAGAUGGAGGUAAGGGUGGCAAACUACUUGGUACUGUUGUUGGUUCAGGUGUUUGUGGUAGAGAAGGUGAUGGAGAAGGUGAUGUUGCACUUGCAGAUGAGGUGGUAGAAGCCCAUCCACUUGGCAUGUUUGGGCAAUCCAUCUACGGAACAAUAAAACAUACAAUUUAGCAACAGAACAAUAAAAACAUACAAUUUAGCAAUAAACAAUAACCAUAGUAGUUAACUAGAGUAAACAACUCCUAAGUCCUAAUCAUAUACAUGACCAAAUUGUAUAAGUCAAUGUCCACUCCAUGAUUCCUUACAAUGAAUUGAAACUCUUGUUCUUUAUUCACCUUAGCUUUGUUAUAAAGAAACAAAGACUAAUUGAGGAAGAAGAACUAUGUUUAACUUAACUCAAACAGAGUAUAUAAACAUGACAUAUAAUCAAUACAUGAAGACUCCAAAGACUGGACAAGGUACCAAUACAUUAACACCCAACUAAUUAUUAAUUACUAAUUAUUAAAUUGAGGUUUCAUUUCAUGUUAACUUCUUUCCACCGCUAACUUAAGAAAUCAUGCAACUAUCUACUACAAUAGUAAUGACAACGCUUAUAAGUUAUAUGAGAAACAUACUAGUGUAAGAUACAAAAACAUUACUUAAUCCAAGAAACACCUCACCAUAUAUCUACAUUAUAGUAAAAGUUCAAGCUGGCACAAACAAGCAGAAAUCCUACAAGAUAGGAAGAUGAAUCAAACAAAAAAAGUUUAACUUUAUGUUUCAUCUUGUACUAUUCUCAACAUGUUAACCCAUAUCAGCAGUAGGUCACCAAAUUUCAAAACUAAUGAAACUUCACAGGAUCAAGAAUAAGAUAAUAUGGCAGAAUAUUUGGAUCAGAUAGGAGAUAUUCCAUGAUUAGGUAAACGUUACUCCUUAAAGAAAGCUGAAUUUGGACGAAUACUAAAUCCAUUUUAAUUAUUGUUUCAGGACGUUUACAAAUCUUAAACAAGUCUAUCAUACCUCAGAACAACCAUUGUAUCAGUUUAUGAGUGUCUGACAUGUGUCUCUGUGUGCCGGACACAUGUGUCAAGUGUCAGUGUAUUCGACACUGACCAGAAUACCUAAGUCUGCAACGAAGUUGCCACGAGUCACAAAUUUACUUUCUUUCUCUCCCAUUUACAAUUUUAGAUUUUUUUAUUUAUUUAUUUCCAGCAAUAACGAUUGCAAAUUUUGUGAUUUAGAACUGUGUUUCUACAUCUGGAAGCAUCUACUUCCCCUAUAUUACAUGCCCCAAAAUGUAAAUACAUUCCUAAGUCUUUCAGUAGCAGAAUUUCACAUAUAAUAAUGUCUAAGUCAAUCUAUGUAUAAAAAAAAAAAAACAGGACAAUCAUCGAUGGCUCACAUGCAUAAUGAGAGAAAAUAUUGGAUAAUAAUUCAAGACUAUUUCUAGUAGUAUGUAAAUUUUCAUGGCAUGAAUGAUGAUGAGUAAAUGAGUUCACUACAAUCCAUUGCUAGGUUUGAUAAGAACACAUUGCUAGUUUCAACACUUUUAAGAAUCAUUUGCUUGAUCCAUCAUAUACUAAGAUAAACUACAAACUUUUCAAAGAAUAAAAUAUCCGAAUCUGUCUGGGAUAGAAACUGAGAUGGAAAAUCCCUAAUUUCUUCUCCAAUAUAAGAGAGGAACUAGAACAGAAACUCCCAUCAUUUCUAUCCUUCAAACCAAUUCGAAAGACGGGUAAUGUGCAAAACACAUACCCAUCUCUUAUUCUAUGCCUCUGUCUGGACCAAAUGUGGUCUCUAAACUUCCACAAUUCGGUAAUUUUGAGGCAAUCUUAAUUUCAUCAAAAAAAAAAAGAAACAAAAACAAAUGUUCAAGGUCGUUUGAAAGACAAUUAGAAGUAUUUUUAAUAUCUAAAAAUCAUCUCAAACAACCUAAGAGGAUCUCGAAAUCAAAAUCAAUGAAAUUGAAGUUGAAAAAGAAAUCUAUUAAUCUUUGCCUCAUAACUAAGCCAUAUGAUAUGGAUUGUUUGGUAGAAAAACUCCACCAAUAACAAUAAAACUCGUAUGGCUACUCAAAGAGGCAGAUUCAAUUUAAUCUAAUCUAAUCUAACAGAAAAAAAAUAAAAAAAUUUAGAAACUACUAAACAUUAACAGAAGCAAAAGAACAUAAACUCUUUAACAGAAACAAAUCUAAACUCAUCAAAUCAAUCAAUCAAACUACACAUAUUGAAAUCGAAAACUCUAAUUAAGGUUUCAUGAAUACCUUUCGAAUCGAAAACUCUAAUCGAUUUCUCUACCACGACGACGAACGAAUUGUUUUCGGUUUUCGUAUUGUAUUAACUAUUUCGAUCGAACGAGGAAGAGGAACGAGGAAGUGGCGGUGGUGGUGGAGAAGAGGACUGAAGGAGGCGGAAUGGAGAAGAGGACUGAAGGAGGCGGGACUGAAUGAAGUUUUAGGUUUAGUAUUUACUAUGUCUAGUUUAGUAAUUUCCUAUUAAAAAAAAUAUUUUUUAUUUAUUUCGGUUCGGUUCGGUUUUCUCGGUUCUAUAAAAACCAGAACCAAGACCGGACCAAUAGCUAUAUAGUUCGGUUCAGUUUCGGUCCAGUCUUGACCGGUUUUCAGUCAACUCGGUUUUGACCGGUUUUAACUCGGUUUUUUCGGUUCGGUUUUCGGUUUUUCGGUUUUUUUGCCCACCCCUAGAAGUCAAUUAACUCAUAAGCAAUUUGUCAGACAACUCAUUUCAAAUUAUUUGGGAUAACUC